GUUUACACCGAGAAUGUCUACGGUUCGAAUCCGUAUAGCCCUA
Molecule: transfer RNA, 43 nt
Filed under: Isoetes dixitii
Lineage: Eukaryota; Viridiplantae; Streptophyta; Lycopodiopsida; Isoetales; Isoetaceae
Description: partial tRNA-Val
Source: RNAcentral